GUCUGUUUGAAGGUAUAAAAAGUUUAACCUGCCCACUGAUAAAUUUUUUAAAGGGCCGCGGUAUCCUGACUGUGCAAAGGUAGCAUAAUCGUUAGUUUUUUAAUUGGAAUCUUGUAUGAAUGGUUUGACAAAAGAAAAUCUGUCUUUAUAAUUAUUUAUUGAAUUUAACUUUUAAGUGAAAAGGCUUAAAUAAAUUAAAAAGACGAUAAGACCCUAUAAAGCUUAAUAUUAAAUUUUUAUUUAAUUAAAUUUUGAAUUAUAAUAAAAAUUUGGUAAAUAAAUUUUAUUUUGUUGGGGUGAUAAUGGUAAAAUGAUUAUUAACUGUUAAUUUUUUUAGACAAAAAUAAGUGAAUAAGUGAUUUAUUAAUAAAGGAUCCUGUAUUAAAGAUUAAAAGUUUAAGUUACUUUAGGGAUAACAGCGUUAUUUUUUUUGAGAGUUCUUAUCGAGAAAAAAGUUUGCGACCUCGAUGUUGAAUUAAAAUAUCUAUAUAAUUGUAGCAGUUAUAUAAGAAGGUCUGUUCGACCUUUAAAAUUUUACAUGAUUUGAGUUCAGACCGGCGUAAG
RNAcentral lists this ribosomal RNA (564 nucleotides) under Orisarma intermedium. RNAcentral's name for it is "Sesarmops intermedius partial 16S ribosomal RNA". The stretch from base 412 to 564 matches the Rfam family "Bacterial large subunit ribosomal RNA", at positions 2473 to 2625 of the family's 2925-position model. The record is from RNAcentral. RNAcentral also lists the same sequence under 1 other name. Lineage: Eukaryota; Metazoa; Arthropoda; Malacostraca; Decapoda; Sesarmidae.